RNAcentral lists this ribosomal RNA (637 nucleotides) under uncultured bacterium. RNAcentral describes it as "bacterial SSU rRNA". It matches the Rfam family "Bacterial small subunit ribosomal RNA", at positions 607 to 1244 of the family's 1533-position model. The record is from RNAcentral.
GCUCAACCGAGGAAGUGCUUCGAAAACUGGUAAACUUGAGUGCAGAAGAGGAAAGUGGAACUCCAUGUGUAGCGGUGGAAUGCGUAGAUAUAUGGAAGAACACCAGUGGCGAAGGCGGCUUUCUGGUCUGUAACUGACGCUGAGAUUCGAAAGCAUGGGUAGCAAACAGGAUUAGAUACCCUGGUAGUCCAUGCCGUAAACGAUGAGUGCUAAGUGUUGGAGGGUUUCCGCCCUUCAGUGCUGCAGCUAACGCAUUAAGCACUCCGCCUGGGGAGUACGAUCGCAAGAUUGAAACUCAAAGGAAUUGACGGGGGCCCGCACAAGCGGAGGAGCAUGUGGUUUAAUUCGAAGCAACGCGAAGAACCUUACCAGGUCUUGACAUACCAUGAAAAGCUAAGAGAUUAGUCUUUCCCUUCGGGGACAUGGAUACAGGUGGUGCAUGGUUGUCGUCAGCUCGUGUCGUGAGAUGUUGGGUUAAGUCCCGCAACGAGCGCAACCCUUAUUAUCAGUUGCCAGCAUUCGGUUGGGCACUCUGGUGAGACUGCCGGUGACAAACCGGAGGAAGGUGGGGACGACGUCAAAUCAUCAUGCCCCUUAUGACCUGGGCUACACACGUGCUACAAUGGUCGGUACAACG